AACGAACGCUGGCGGCGUGGUUGAUACAUGCAAGUCGAGCGGGAACGGUUCCUUCGGGGACUUAGUACAGCGGCGGACGGGUGAGUAAUACUUGAUCAAUCUACCCAUAAGACUGGGAUAGCCUUUCGAAAGGAAGGGUAAUACCGGAUAAGACCACGGCAUCGCAUGAUGCUGGGGUAAAAAGGUUGGGAUCUUCGGACCUUCUGCUUAUGGAUGAGAUCAAGCCCUAUUAGCUUGUUGGUGGGGUAACGGCCUACCAAGGCAACGAUGGGUAGCGGGCCUGAGAGGGUGAACCGCCACACUGGAACUGAGACACGGUCCAG
RNAcentral lists this ribosomal RNA (323 nucleotides) under uncultured bacterium. Its description in RNAcentral is "bacterial SSU rRNA". It matches the Rfam family "Bacterial small subunit ribosomal RNA", at positions 29 to 334 of the family's 1533-position model. The record is from RNAcentral.